GAUGAACGCUGGCGGCGUGCUUAACACAUGCAAGUCGAACGGGAAACCUUUUAUUGAAGCUUCGGCAGAUUUAGCUGGUUUCUAGUGGCGGACGGGUGAGUAACGCGUGGGUAACCUGCCUUAUACAGGGGGAUAACAACCAGAAAUGGUUGCUAAUACCGCAUAAGCGCACAGGACCGCAUGGUCCGGUGUGAACAACUCCGGUGGUAUAAGAUGGACCCGCGUUGGAUUAGCUAGUUGGCAGGGUAACGGCCUACCAAGGCGACGAUCCAUAGCCGGCCUGAGAGAGUGAACGGACACAUUGGGACUGAGACACGGCCCAGACUCCUACGGGAGGCAGCAGUGGGGAAUAUUGCACAAUGGGGGAAACCCUGAUGCAGCGACGCCGCGUGAAGGAAGAAGUAUCUCGGUAUGUAAACUUCUAUCAGCAGGGAAGAUAGUGACGGUACCUGACUAAGAAGCCCCGGCUAACUACGUG
RNAcentral lists this ribosomal RNA (478 nucleotides) under uncultured bacterium. RNAcentral describes it as "partial 16S ribosomal RNA". It matches the Rfam family "Bacterial small subunit ribosomal RNA", at positions 28 to 507 of the family's 1533-position model. The record is from RNAcentral.